This is a long non-coding RNA of Raphanus sativus (radish), 846 nucleotides long. RefSeq lists it as uncharacterized. NCBI's taxonomy places the organism in Eukaryota, Viridiplantae, Streptophyta, Magnoliopsida, Brassicales, Brassicaceae. The record is from RefSeq and is a predicted model, not a curated record. The transcript has 7 exons.
UCUCUCUCUCUCUCUCUCUCUCUCUCUCUCUCUCUCUCUCUCUCUCUCUCUCUCUCUCUCUCUCUCUCUCUCUCUCUCUCUCUCUCUCUCUCUCUCUCUCUCUCUCUCUCUCUCUCGUUCUCUCUCUCUUGAAGCUCAUCUCAUCUCACUCUCUCGUUUAGACUCAAAGCUCUCUCAGGCUUCUCCAUAGCUUUCUGUGUGUGUGUCUCAAGCUCUCCUAAGCUUUGUCUGUCUUUCACUGUCUUGUAAGGUCAACAACACAGAUGCUGAUGCGAAGAUUCGAGUCAAUCUCCAGGCGCAAGGCAAAGAGAGUCAGGAAGGCCAAGGAUGAGAAGAAGAGCUCUGCCUCUAACAACAAGCCCAAGCGUCCUCUUACUGCUUUCUUCAUUUUCAUGAAUGAUUUCCGCAAAACUUUCAAAGAAGAGAAUCCUUCUUCUAACGUUAAGGAUGUUGCAAAGCAGGGUGGUGAAAAUGGAAGUCUUUGAUCAUUGCUCUGUCCUUUGCUUCUUCCCUUAGUUUCAUGGUGAUUUGCUUAUUGUGAUCUUACUCUGUAUUCUUUUGAUCAUUUAGGAAAAGAAAGUUUAUUUGGAUAAGGCUGCUGAACUAAAGGCAGAGUACAACAAGUCACUGGAGAGCAGUGAUGCCGAUGAGGAAGAAGAGGAUGAGGAGAAGCAGUCAGAUGAUGAUGCCGAUGAAAAACAAUCUGACGCGGCUGAUGUGUCUAAGCAGUCGACAUUUAUCGUAUUAAAUCAUGUUUUAGUUAAUGAUUUGAUUUUUUUUUAAGACUUGUUGUAAUAUUUUUUUUAUCAACCAACUUCUUAUUUGUUUGAAUUUCAAAAAUUAGAU